CCUACGGGAGGCAGCAGUGGGGGAUAUUGCACAAUGGGGGAAACCCUGAUGCAGCGACGCCGCGUGAGUGAAGAAGUAACUCGGUAUGUUAAGCCUCUUCAGCCGGGAAGCAAAUGACAGUACCUGACCACGAAGCCCCGGCUGACUACGUGCCAGCAGCGGGGGUAACAAGACGGGAGCAAGCGUUAUACGGAUUUACUGGGUGUAAAAGGGGCGUAGGCGGUUAUGUAAGUCUGGAGGGAAAGCCCGGGGCCCAACCCCGGGACUGCUUUGGAAACUGGGUAUCUGGAGUAGAGGAGGGGCAGGCGGAAUGCGUGGUGUAGCGGUGAAAUGCGUAGAUAUCAGGAGGAACACCGACGGCGAAGGCGGCCUGCUGGACUGAAACUGACGUUGAGGCUCGAAAGCGUGGGGAGCGAACAGGAUUAGAUACCCCAGUAGUC
RNAcentral lists this ribosomal RNA (440 nucleotides) under uncultured bacterium. Its description in RNAcentral is "partial 16S ribosomal RNA". It matches the Rfam family "Bacterial small subunit ribosomal RNA", at positions 338 to 795 of the family's 1533-position model. The record is from RNAcentral.